Molecule: ribosomal RNA, 253 nt
Filed under: uncultured bacterium
Lineage: Bacteria
Description: partial 16S ribosomal RNA
Rfam family: Bacterial small subunit ribosomal RNA
Source: RNAcentral
UACGGAGGGAGCAAGCGUUACUCGGAAUUACUGGGCGUAAAGCGUGCGCAGGCGGUUGUGUAAGCCAGAUGUGAAAUCCCCGGGCUUAACCUGGGAAUGGCAUUUGGGACUGCACGGCUAGAGUACGGCAGAGGAGACUAGAAUUCCUGGUGUAGCAGUGAAAUGCUUAGAUAUGACAUAGAACACCAAUUGCGAAGGCAGCUGGCUACACAAAUAUUGACACUGAGGCACGAAAGCGUGGGGAUCAAACAGG